CGCGCCACGGCACUCCAGUCCGGGCAACAGAGCAAGACUCCGUCUGAAAAAACAAACAAACAAACAAACAAACAAGAAACCAUAUACAAACUUCUGUCUGUCCAGCUCUACCUGUGCAUCCAGAGAGAUGGAUAUGGAUAUAGGGCUCAAUAUCCUGAGGAGGAGAACUUUGAAUCACCAGGUCAACUACAGGAAUGUCCAAACCACAAGGAGCCACGUUGGUUGCCACCAAAACUUUAUAAUUAUCUCUCUGAAGCCUUGUAGUGUAAUUUAUCUUUGUGACUGUGCAAUGUCCCAUGUAAACACAGUGCAUUCUGUUUUGUGUGGAUUCAUGGCCAUGUCAGUUACAUUCUUCUUGGUCUCACAGAAAAUAAUAGCCCCCCCUUCAGAUCCACUAUGGACUUGAAGGACAUCUCAUUAUCAUCUACGUUUUAUAAAGGAGGAAAUUGAGGAACUCACAUGGAGGGACUGGGAUUUAAAACCAGGUCUUCUGAUUUUAAGGCCUUUUCUUUUAGUGUUUUCCCUUUUCUUUUCCUUAAGUCACUAAAAUCUACAGUUAUAUAACCUUACAAAAAUCAUGAUAUGCAAAAUAGAAAAAUGAUAGUGACCACAUAUCUACUAAUGGCAUUAAAAUGUAUAAUCCUAAAAGCUUACUUGUUAGCACACUUGCUUAUCUGUCCAUUCAUUCAUUGAACCAGUAAGUAUUUAUUGAGAGUUACAGUGGGAAUACAAUGCUGUGAAAGACAAACAAGAUCCCUCCCUUCACACCACUUAAAUUCUAGUGGGGGAAACAUCUGCACAUAACAAACUAAAUAAAAUGAUCAUAAAAUAAUAAAUGUUAUUUAUAUAAAACUGGCUACUUUCUUUACUGCUCAGUUAAAGGGUCUUGUAGCUCAUUUUACGAUAUGAAAAAAAUCAAGGUCUAAAAGCUCCUUGAGACAAUUUAAACUCUAAUACCAAAUAUACCUCUAUAAAAUACCAAACUGAGCUAAUACUGUAUAUGUGUACUUAUACAUAUGUACAUAACCUAAAUAUAUGUAUGCACAUAUUAUCUAUACAAAGAGCCAUACUCAGUGAAAGAUAAGUUACCUCCUAAACUAAAGUUCCCUCUGAGGUACAAUAGAAAUUAAAAUAAUUGCUUCUUUUCUCAACUCUAUCUAGCACGUGUUUUCUGUGAUGGGAUAAAUGUUUUCAUUUCAAGUGCCAGUGUGUGAACUGUAAUAAACAUUACUGCUUUCAUUUUUUUGUAGGUACAGAGGUUACGUUAACUGUUAUAGUUGCUGAACUGAGUUUUUAUGUCAGGAAGAAGCCAUCAGUGUGUGAACAAGUCAUACAUUUUUAUCUGCAAAGACCCUUGGGAAAUGAUACUUUUCUCCAAAACUUAUCAGGAAUGUGCAUAACCAGGAUGAAUCAAAGUUCAACAUUUAUUACGCACUAUGUGCAUAUAUUACAUUGGCAAUGUAGGUAAAGUGAGCAACUUGAGAAAAAAUACUGUAUUAAACACCAAGAGAGUUCACAAUUUA
Macaca mulatta (Rhesus monkey) is the source of this 1523-nucleotide non-coding RNA. Lineage: Eukaryota; Metazoa; Chordata; Mammalia; Primates; Cercopithecidae. The record is from RefSeq and is a predicted model, not a curated record.